AACGAACGCUGGCGGCAGGCCUAACACAUGCAAGUCGAGCGCACUCUUCGGAGUGAGCGGCGGACGGGUUAGUAACGCGUGGGAACGUACCUUUCGGUAAGGAAUAGCCUCUGGAAACGGAGAGUAAUACCUUAUACGCCCUUUGGGGGAAAGAUUUAUCGCCGAGGGAUCGGCCCGCGUUAGAUUAGAUAGUUGGUGGGGUAACGGCCUACCAAGUCUACGAUCUAUAGCUGGUUUUAGAGGAUGGUCAGCAACACUGGGACUGAGACACGGCCCAGACUCCUACGGGAGGCAGCAGUGGGGAAUCUUGGACAAUGGGCGCAAGCCUGAUCCAGCCAUGCCGCGUGAGUGAUGAAGGCCUUAGGGUCGUAAAGCUCUUUCGUCGGGGAAGAAAAUGACUGUACCCGAAUAAGAAGGUCCGGCUAACUUCGUG
RNAcentral lists this ribosomal RNA (433 nucleotides) under uncultured bacterium. RNAcentral's name for it is "bacterial SSU rRNA". It matches the Rfam family "Bacterial small subunit ribosomal RNA", at positions 29 to 507 of the family's 1533-position model. The record is from RNAcentral.